Molecule: ribosomal RNA, 408 nt
Filed under: uncultured microorganism
Description: bacterial SSU rRNA
Rfam family: Bacterial small subunit ribosomal RNA
Source: RNAcentral
CAGCCGCCGCGGUAAUACGUAGGGUGCAAGCGUUAAUCGGAAUUACUGGGCGUAAAGCGUGCGCAGGCGGUUAUGUAAGACAGAGGUGAAAUCCCCGGGCUCAACCUGGGAACUGCCUUUGUGACUGCAUAGCUAGAGUACGGUAGAGGGGGAUGGAAUUCCGCGUGUAGCAGUGAAAUGCGUAGAUAUGCGGAGGAACACCGAUGGCGAAGGCAAUCCCCUGGACCUGUACUGACGCUCAUGCACGAAAGCGUGGGGAGCAAACAGGAUUAGAUACCCUGGUAGUCCACGCCCUAAACGAUGUCAACUGGUUGUUGGGUCUUCACUGACUCAGUAACGAAGCUAACGCGUGAAGUUGACCGCCUGGGGAGUACGGCCGCAAGGUUGAAACUUAAAGGAAUUGGCGGG